This 505-nucleotide ribosomal RNA is filed under the name uncultured bacterium. Its description in RNAcentral is "partial 16S ribosomal RNA". It matches the Rfam family "Bacterial small subunit ribosomal RNA", at positions 28 to 507 of the family's 1533-position model. The record is from RNAcentral.
GACGAACGCUGGCGGCGUGCCUAAUACAUGCAAGUAGAACGCACAGUUUAUACCGUAGCUUGCUACACCAUACACUGUGAGUUGCGAACGGGUGAGUAACGCGUAGGUAACCUGCCUGGUAGCGGGGGAUAACUAUUGGAAACGAUAGCUAAUACCGCAUAAUAUUGAUUAUUGCAUGAUAAUUGAUUGAAAGAUGCUAUUGCAUCACUACCAGAUGGACCUGCGUUGUAUUAGCUAGUAGGUGAGGUAACGGCUCACCUAGGCGACGAUACAUAGCCGACCUGAGAGGGUGAUCGGCCACACUGGGACUGAGACACGGCCCAGACUCCUACGGGAGGCAGCAGUAGGGAAUCUUCGGCAAUGGACGAAAGUCUGACCGAGCAACGCCGCGUGAGUGAAGAAGGUUUUCGAAUCGUAAAGCUCUGUUGUAAGAGAAGAACGGGUGUGAGAGUGGAAAGUUCACACUGUGACGGUAUCUUACCAGAAAGGGACGGCUAACUACGUG